Molecule: long non-coding RNA, 5714 nt
Filed under: Homo sapiens (human)
Lineage: Eukaryota; Metazoa; Chordata; Mammalia; Primates; Hominidae
Description: HSALNT0341724
Source: RNAcentral
UUGUGGCGCGCCUGGUGCCACAUCUCGGGCUCUGCGAGCGUCCUGGCGCGGGAUCCUGCCGUGAGAAGGAGUUGGGGCGGGGGACCCGGCGGGGCAUUGCGGGAGAAGGCCUGGGAUCCCUGGGAGCCUUGUAGCGUGGGGGAGUUCACUGUGUAGAGAGGUUUCAUGUCUUCAUCUAUAUAGUCACUUAUUUGUCUUAAAGUUCUCGAAAUUCCCUCUUAGAGAAGGAGAAAGUUAGAGAACUGGAGGCUGCGUACCCUGAUUACGCAGAAGGGAAGCAGCCUCGCAUUCCCCGGGGCAGGCCCCCGCCCGCGCGUCCCGCCAGUAGGGGAAUUUAGCGGACGGCUGCGGUUGUCUGGUGAAAGGCUAUCCAAGGAUAAGGGGCUUCACUUUUCCCAAGUAGGGGAAAGAGAAGGGGUCUACAGGGCUAGGGGUGGAGGGAGCGGAUGCAGUGAGCAGCCUCCGCAGAGAAAUUGACAAUUUAACCAGGGACCUGCGGCAGAGACAAGGCGGAGACACUCCCUUGCCCAGGAAAGCCGCCAGAGUCCGGCUUGUACCUGGGGAAGAAUCCUUAAGACGGUCUGGCCCAACACUCCUUUGCUCACAGAGAAAGGGGAGAAGACUCCCGAGGGUGAAAAUGGUACAUUCGGAGCUGGAACUCAGCUCGCUGACCCCAAGCAGUGUUCCCUUCUUUUCGCCAGGUUUGCAUCCAAGAGAGGGGAGGACAGGGGCAAAAGGAUGCAGGGAGGCUGCUGAUUUCCACUGAAGAGCUAAUUUCCUGUGAGACAUUAACAGUGAUUUAAGAAAAAGAUUCCUGUAACUGGUAAAUGAAUUUCAUUUGCUUAACUUUUAGAUGAUAUGUUUCAGGCAAAAAAAAAGUUGUGCACCCACUUAUCUCUUUAAAGCGGAGGAUGAAAAGCAUUGAAUAGGUAGGAUUCUUAAUGUCUGAGAUGAAGGCGAUGUAGGAGGCAAACAAUACGGUUAAAAAUGUUGAGUCGACCCAAACAGAAAGACCAGGUUUCAAUCCAGACUCUGCGGCUUACUGAGAAUAUGAUCUUGAGUAAACUGCUUGACCUUCCUGAGCCUCAGCUUUCUUAGUUGUUAAAUGGACUUUAACAAUACUAAUCUGUUAGGACUGUGGUGAGGAUGAAAUCAGGGAAAUCAGUCACAGCAGUGCUCUCCUGGCACAGUAAUGUCUUACAAUAACAGAAUGCAGGAGAGCACAUAUCAAUGAAGAAAAGACAAAAUGUACUUAUCCAUGAAGCUGAGGUUAAGAAACCAGUGUCUUCAAGAGCCAGGGACAGCACUGGGUCUGUGCAGAGUUGAGAGAUGGUGAUGACAUGUGGUUUCCAGCAUUCCUCACCCAGUCCAGGGACACUGUGGGUGUGCCCAGCUUAAGUCCAGUAACUGGAAAUACAAGCCCAAGUUCUGGAGAGUUUGAGCUGCAGAGAUAUAUAUGGGAACACUUUGAAUCUUGACUCAUUGGCCAUAACCAGCAGAGUGGAAAAUACAAGAAGAGAAAAAAACAUUGAACUGCGAUUUUAUAACAUCCUUUACUAGGCAGAGAGAAGAGGAAACACCAGGAAAGAAAACUGUAUUACGAUGUGAAAACUUAAUGUUGAGAAAUUCAGGCAUCUUGGGGUUAGUGAGGAGAAGUUUUAGGGGCUUAGAUUCUUCUAAACACAUGUACAGAAAUGCAUAUUUCAUCUGAUAUCAAAUGGCAUUUAUAGUGCUAAUCUUUACCUCAAGACUUCACAUCUUUUGGUGAUUGCAUCUUUUAGGUUUAUAGCAGCUAAGUUUGCAUGAAAACACCAGGGCUGUUUCAUUUCAGUCAAGAAUUAAUGUUCAUUGAUUGUGCUUCUGCAUUUCAUGUAACUAUUGUAGAAUUUGUUUUAGUUUUAUGAGGGAAUAAUUGUUCCAACUUCUAUAUAACUCAGGAAUUUACUCUCAAACAACACUGUCAAUUAGUUACUUAUCUCUCUGGAAAUGAUCUGGGAACAUGGAGAGGAAAGGGAGGAAGGGGCAAAAUCUGACCACUUAAAUCUAAGCAUAUUAGAUCAUUUUAUGCUAGAAAGUCCUGAAUGAUGUGACUUUCGUUCUUGUAAAACACCUCUUUCCAUAGAUUCAUGGCCCAAACAGUAUAUAAAGAGUGGGGAAGGAACUGCAUUUGCAAAUAGUUCAAAUCAUUGCUCCAUCUUAACUACGCAGUUCACAAAGUGUGAAGAAAUGUGAUCAUCUCAAAAAAGAUAAUGGGGAAAAAAUAUGUUUUGUUCUGUGACUUUAAAGUCUUGCAAUAUUUUACAUAAAUGAUAAUGGGUGCUUUAAUAAGAACUCUUGAUACUUUUGUUAUUGUAUUCAAUAUAUGCAUAUAAUACAACAGGAUGAUAUUGUUUUGGAUUUGGAAAUGUAUUCUUUCUUAUGCAAUCUUAUGCAGUCAUACUGCUUGAAUAUCAUUACCUGAAUUUAUCUUUCUUUUUUUUGUUGUUGUUUUACACUCUACUUAUUUGGUGCCUGUCAGUCUUUUGUCGUCAGUUUAUAUUCUACUAAACUCAAAAAGACAAUCUCAUACCUUUUGUAAUUGUAGGCAUUCUUUACUAGAUUUUUAAAUACACUUCAAAAAUUCAAGUACUUUGAUUUCAUGCCAUCAAGUAGCUGAAUCUAUCCCCCCGUCUCUUUUUAAAUUUAAGUGAGUAGUUCAAUUUCUGUCACUUUCUACUUUGUGAAUUCUAAAUCUUUUAAAACCAUCUUGCCAUUUUUCGUGCACUUACCCUUACAGAAAACUCUGUGAAACACUACUUAUCUCUACUUUUAUGUUUUUAACUCCUUUUUUAUAUUACUAUUCCCUCUGCUUUCUAAAUGCACAUAUUAAUUUGUUCUUUUUAUUCUCUGUAGCUCUUCUCAGUGUAUGAAUUCAGUUUCCCAUCAGUCUCCAUACAAUUAAAAAAAAGUUGAGUAUUCUGUUAUUUUAAUAAGAUAUCUAGUGCCCAUAUUCUAAUUCUGCCCCUUAUUUUUAAUAUAAUUUUAUUGUUGAUUUAAAAUGACAACAGUUUCAAUUCCCAGAAAGUGAAAGGAAACAAAGGAAUAAUAUUAUAGGCUUAAUUUUUAUCAGUGAACUUGUAGGUGAAGAAAAGAUUUGGGGAAGGAAAUGAACAUAUUAUAUUGCAAAAUAGUAAGGAACAAUCAGAUGUGUUUUCUAGUCUCUGGAAAAGCAUGUUUCAAGAAAUUCAAUGAAAAGUUCAUCAUGCUUGCUUAGAUUGUUGAGAAGCAAAAACACUGAUGAACAUUUGGAAGCAAUGAGAAUGUAAUUCUAAUCAUACUCUUUUAAUAAUGUUGCAAAACUCUCCAAACACUACUCUGUGUGGAUGUCUUUCAGAAUAUGAUGAAUACUAGUAGUCUUAUUCUGCCCUUUUCUCUCUAUCACAAUAUAUACAUUCUAUAUUGCAUACACAUAUUUUCCAAAUAUUACAUAUAAUUUCAUGUAAUUUAUAGACCUAUUAAGGCCCAACCAUUUUCUUGGAUAGGGGAUUCUUUAGAAGUCCAGCUUAAAUAAAGCCCGUAUAGAAAGUUUUUUUAAAAUUUAUACAUAAUCACCUAAAGUAACCUUAUCUACUGAACUCUUAGUACAUGCUACUGGAACCUUUUAUCAUGUUUCUUCCUGGCUUGCAUUACAACACUGUUGACAUAUCUCAGCCUUACUUCUAGGCUUCUUUGAGAGCAUGACUCAUGUUUGUAUUCCUCACUGAGGUUGAAUGAAUAAGAGAAACUACAGUAGUAGGAAAAAACAGUACAUGUACAUAUCAAUGAAUAUGAAAGGGUCAAAUGGAUCUAUUAUAGUAAGCACAAAAUCAACUGACACCAGCAAAGUAAACCCAAAAUUUUUAAUGGUAUUUUAAUAGAUCAAGAGGAGCAAGCAGAUUUUUGAGACAGUUGUCUCCUACUUUCUCUAUCACAGGGAGUAAUUUUAAAAGAAAAAUGGAGGGUAAGUUUCUUUAAGAGAAAAUUGUAGUUUAAAACAGGUCAUGGGAUAAUUAGAAAUAAUUUAAUUUCUUUAGAGGAUUUUAAUCUUUCAACUGCUUGCAAUUAGAUCCUAAGGCAAUAAAAGAAUAAGGAGAUUUGGAAAACCAUUGUCUGUAAUCUCUGAAGAAAAGUGGACAUUAGGGGAGUCAGUUGAAAAGCAAAGCUAUCACCAUUUUCUAAAGAGGAAAAAGGUGAACCUCACAAACUAUAGACCAAAAAAAUAGGACAUCGAGAGAAAGAAUAUGAAGCUAGCAUAGGUUCACAAAGAAUGAGUCAAAUCAAACAACAUGCAUUUUUUAUUUAUAAAGCAUGACUUGUUCAUUGUCAAUUCAUGUUAGCUUAAUCAUUAGGCAUUAAUGCCAUCACUGCAAUGCAUAUGUCAGCAAUAAAUAAUCAAAGACCAGGCUUCCAUCAUUCUGUUUAAUAUCUUCAAGUAAUGCUUAAGUUUGCAAAUGCUCUUUUAACACAUUCUCCAUAUGCAGCCUGCCCAGCACUGCACACAAUAGACCUGUUACUUCCCCCUCACGAGCACUCCUAAUAUUUCAUGUGCUCAUCCAAUUGACUUCUCCCACUGGUGCCUCAUAUUGAAUUUGUAGAAUCACACCUGCUCCUUUUUCAAAACUCUUCUGAGUUUUUUCUUAAAUAAUUCACUGACCCCAAAGUUGUCAGAUAUUUGAAGACUACUCGCACAAUUUUAAUAUUAUAAAUGUAUAAUGUAAAUGUAAUUAAGAUUUGUAUAAUGUACGAUGUACUUUGGUAAAUAAAAGUAUGCUGUGAAUAAAUACGUAUGAUACAAUUCAAAAUUUUACAUAAAUAUGUGAUAAAAUUUAGCUCAUAUUCUUUUUUUUUUUCUUUGAGACGGAGUCUCACUCUGUUGCACCCAGGCUAGAGUGCAGCAGCAUGAUCUCAGCUCACUGCAACCUCUACCUCCUGGGUUCAAACAAUUCUCCUGCCUCAGCCUCCUGAGUAGCUGGGAUUACAGGUGCCCGCCACCAUGCCCAGCUAAUUUUUUUCUAUUUUUGUUGUUGUUGUUGUUUUUAGUAGAGACGGGGUUUCACCAUGUUGGUCAGGCUGGUCUUGAACUCCUGACCUCAGAUAAUCCACCUGCCUCGGCCUCCCAAAGUUCUGGGAUUACAGACGUGAACCACGGUGCCCGGCCUAGUUCAUGUUCUUUAAGGACAAUUAUGAAUAUUUUUAUGCACUGUUAAUUUUCAUUAAGAUAUUGAUCAAUUAAUAGCUAUAUAUGUUCUAUAAAUUAAUCCUAUCUAGUUUCAAUCUUAAAUUGUUUGCAUAUACCAAUCUAGUUUAUUGUUUGCAUAUAUUUUAUAGUGUAGAGAUUAGGCAUUUUAAUAAAAUUUUAAAAUUUCCAGGACAUACUGUUAAUGACUAUGCUUCCUACUAUAGGCCAUAAUUAAUUUUUUUCUAUUGUCAACAAUAUUUUGGUAGGGAUGAUCAGGAAAUAAGGAAAUGUUUCCUUCAUUUGUUAACAAUAGGUGUUUGGGGAUUUUAAAAUGAAAAUUGAAGAAGUAAAAGACACCAUAUAUUUAGUUUGUUUGAUUUCGUGGCUUCAAGAGUUCAAUAAUUUAUUGAAAUAUUUUACAGACCAAAGAACAACAGAUAUAUUACGUUUAUAAGCCCCCACAUAUUUUAAAGGAUAAUGGUUUAUAUAUGAAAAUUCCCUGAACCUACACUUCAUC